Long non-coding RNA from Biomphalaria glabrata, 5109 nucleotides. RefSeq lists it as uncharacterized. NCBI's taxonomy places the organism in Eukaryota, Metazoa, Mollusca, Gastropoda, Planorbidae. The transcript is spliced from 2 exons. The record is from RefSeq and is a predicted model, not a curated record.
AUGGAGAUAAAUCACUCAACUAAACAGUUUUCAAAUCUCACUAGAAGCUGAUAUCAAGCAAUCCAAGACUAGCAAACAAAAUGUGAAAAAUUGGAACAAAAGAUUGUUAGUAAUUAGCAUAAAAACAUUUAGCCAUAACUAUGUAAGAUCUAGCCCUUGGUGCACAAAACUUAGCCAUAACUAUGUAAAACCUAGCCAUGGGUAAUCUAGCUUUGAAUACAUGAUUACAGAGAGAUACAGUUAGAAACAGUGGCAGCACUUUGAUCUUAAAAUUGUGGCUCUAACAAACAGAAAUGCAGGGAGGAGCAGGGUGACAGAAGGAUAAAGUUGAUGACAUGCUGCCAAUCUUACCACACAAGAUUUAAACAAGAAAGUAAAGAGGAAAUGAAAAAGUUUGUACAUGUCCACAUGAACAUUGAGCAGCCUUCCCCUUGUUGCCAUACCUUGAUUUUCUCUCCAAGCAGACAGCAGUAAAAGCCGCCAUGUAAGCCGGUAGGAAGGAUGCGGUGAGUAGAAACAUACAUCCCAAUACAGUCCUGCCAACCAAAGGGAGAACCAGUCAAUGGCAGAUCAAGUCAAUGAUAGCUCAUGUAAGAGUCAAGAGGUCAAAGGUAAGCCUAGUCUAAAUGAAGAAUUCAAAUCAUCAGCAACAGACUCUGAAAUAGGGAUAGAUGUUAAUGAAAGAGUUUAGGAUUCUGGUCUGUUGAAAGGUUUGCUUUCAAUUUGUUUUCUGGUGCUGAGAUGUUUGCUCUAAAGCUUAUUCAAUGUCUAAACACUAAGCUCUUCCAUUGGAGAUCCACUAGUGAGACAUGAAAUUUCAAGCAGAAUACAAUCAAGUCAUAGACAAAAACAAAGUGUUAAGGGGAAAUAGGGCACACACUGUAGCUUCCAUUUCUUACUCCAUUGAAUAGUUGUAGUUAUUUAAAUAGUUACUCUGGCUUUCAAUUCUUAUCACAACAAAUGCAUAAAGUGAAAUUUUAAUUUAAAAUUUCCUUUUUUGAAAAAUAUUGGAUCAAAUUGUGUCAGUAAUUUAUGACUUUUUAGGUUCAUUUUACCUUUUUAUUUCUGUUUUAUUUAAAUUCAAGUGAAAUAGAAACUACAUCAAAUGAUGAGUACACACGAUUAUAACUACAAACUGUCAACUCAAGAAUCAACAAUCAAAUAAGUGCCUGGUACCUGCUCUUGUGUUCUAGGUGAAGAGAGAGUAUACAUGCAGGUAUUGCACACAAAUACACGUUAUAAAACAGGUAAAACCCAACCAGGCGUCUGAAAGUGGUAAAAAAAAAACAUGAAAAUGUUAAAAAUGAAGGAAUCUUUGAGGUGAGCCUCUACAUUUUGAUCAGCUUUCUUCAAUCUUGUAGAUAUUCAAGACAAUAGUCAAAAAACUAAACUGACAAGCUGAAAUAUUUAGUUUCAAAAUCUGAAAAAAAAAAAAAAAAAGAUAAAUCUAAAAAUGAAUAUUUGAGAAUAACUCCACACAAGUCAAUGUCUCUAUUUAGUUCCCACAAACUAUGACUUGCUAGUAACUUUAAGACAGUUUGGCAAGAGUAAAUCUUCGAUCUAAUUGUGAAUGUCAGAUUGUGUCACUGGUAUGAAACUUGUUCACUGCAAACAUGUCAAUAUUUGCUUCCAUUUUUCAUUAGUGUCAAUAUACAAUAUUUUCUAGCUACUUGUACAGUCUGUACACUGCCCUAGUCACGAGUAAAAUCUAUACACUGCCCUAGUCACUUAUUAAGUCUCAACACUGCCAUAGUUACUUGUAAAGUCUUUACAUUGCCCUAGUCAUUUAAAGUCUUUGCUCUAGUCACUUGUAUGUGAACAGUCCUUAAGCUGCUCUAGUCACUUGUAUGUGAAUAGUCCUUAAGCUGCUCUAGUCACUUGUAUGUGAACAGCCCUUAAGCUGCCCUAGUAUUCCUGAAGAAGUGCAAAUGUUUCAUAUUUUUUAAUGCUAAUGCAAAGUCAUAUUUUACAAAAUCUUCAAAAGGAGUCAAAACAAACUGGAUAGUUUCAUGUACAAUCUGCACAAAAAGAAAUGUGUAAUCAAAUAGUUACCAGCAACAGUCACUAUUUUAGUAAAUAAUUAGUACAUCAAUUACAUUGAAAAGUUUAUUUGUUCUAAAUAAGUGGGAAAAAAUAUAUCAAUUAUACAUAUAUGAUACAAUGAAAGUUUUGAAUUACAAAAAUGUUUUAGGAAAAAAAUAGGCUCAACAACUGAUGUUUAUUGGUACUACAAGUUCUUAUUAAGUCAUUACUAAAUAUUUCAUUCUGAUGAAACCAACAAAAACCUAUUCAUGAAACUGAAGAUCUUGGGAGGAGAACAAGUGCAUCUCUCGGUGUGUUGUAGGGAAAUGGAAUGGAUGAAUAACUGAAAGGCCUACUCUACAGGCAGAAGCAUUUUUUUCCAGCAAAGUCAACAAUACAUUGAGUAGAAAAACAAAAAGAUAUGAGAAAGUGAUGCCUUGCAUAUGACCUUGAAUGAAUGGGAAUAAAAAUAGAUUACUGUAAACAAACUGAGAGUAUGUGAUUUAAAAAAAAAAAAGAAAAAAUUGACUGAAAACAAAUGAAAAAGAUACAUAAAUGCAUAGUAUACAAAUUAAAAAUUUCAUUGAAGAAGUAUUUACUACAAUUAUAACUUUUGUUGAAACUAACAUUUUAAAAAAUGUAUAACUUGGAUGAACCUGAUGUAUUGCCUAGUUCAAUAGUUGUAAGUAGCAACUAAAAAAAACAGAAUACUUAUUUCUAUUUGUUUUCUUUCUUUCUUUCUUUUUUUGUGAUGAGAUUUAUAAUGGCACUGACUCACCCUUGUAGCCAUCAAGAAGAUUGGAAAGCAGUAAACUUCAAUAACCCAUAAUGCAGAAUAUAAAAUUUGAAUAAUUUUCAUAGCCAGAAUUUGAGAUCAACUUCUUCAAACAUUGGUUUAAAUUUCUCAUUUGUGGAUAUUUCAAUAAGCUGCUCCUGUAUUAAUAUGGAUGGAUUCAACUGUAUAUGGGAUCUGAGUUUGUCAACAUGCAAAAGGGUUCAACAACCAGAGGGGAACAUCUAAGUCUUCAAAACUUUGAUUCAGAUCUGCAUGAAGAGACAUUUAUUGUUUAAAGAGAAUCUUCAUCUCUAUUUUGCAAUUUUAAAAGAUUUGGAAGCUAAGAACAUUCUCCUUUUCCUAAGUUUUAUUUGUAUGGAAAAAGUUCAGCAACAAAUACAAAUAUUAUGCUUUUAGUUUUGAUUAAAUUUUUGUAGUUUGAAUUUGGAAAAUUGACAUUUUUGGAACACAUGAAAUUGUGUAGCCUUUGCUUUCUAGGAAUUCCAACACUAAAUCAAAGAGAGCGUACAAUUGAUUUAAAACAUGCACUUUUAGAUAACCAAUGUGCUUCAGUGUAGUAGUGUGUAAAUGAUUAUAAUCUUGAUCUUCUAAACAAAGAUGAGCAAAUAAUCUCUUAUUGAAGGUAUUCCUUUUGAGUUUAUGAACUGCUCUAAUGACAUAAUCAAGUGAUCCAAGUAAAUGUUCAAUAGGGAGUUUUGCAAUGAAAUAAUGUCAAUGAAGGACACAAUGUCCUGAAUAUCUUUUAGGCACAUCUUGUUUUAAGUGUGCCAGAAAGCCUUGGUAUCUUCCUACCAUUGCCUCAGUAGAAACAGAAAUGAUAGUUCAGGGUAAGCUUUGACAACAAAAAAUCUUUUGAAUGGAUGAAAUGUUGAACCUUUCUUAUUAGAUUCAAAACAUUUAGCAAAUAAAAAUUCUGUGCAAAUUUUGUUUUACAAAUCUUACAUAAGCAAGGCUUUGUUCCUAGUCAAGUGUACUCUGAUGUUUUAAAAUACUCACAUAAACAAUGUCAAUGCACUGAGCCACUUUGUCUUUCCUUCUUUGUACAAUUUGGAAUUCUUUUCACAUUGUUGAAAACUGGCUUGUGCAACUUUAUGUGUAGUACCUCACUUAUCUUAUCUUCUUCUCUUAUAAAAUACAGACGUUAUUUCAAAAAAGAAGAUGAUUACAUCCUAUGUGUGUUUCUAGGUCAAUCUAGUCAUGCAUGUUAACCAAUGACUUAAAUUCUGCUAAGUCAUUGGUUAUCCUGGCUGGCUAAGGCAACCCAUUCCAUGGUCUAAUAACACUAAGGAAGAAGGAGCGUUUGUACACAUUUGUCUUACCUUCUUUGUACAAUUUGGAAUUCUUUUCUUUUCUAAAUUUAUUGAUUAUACUAAAGAUGUUAAUCUAGUCAAAUGUGAAUAUUCGUUUGAUAUGAAUCUCACUGCUCUUUUUUAUAUCUGUUCCAGUUUCUUAAUGUUUCUUGAGUUGAGGGGGUCCCAAACCAAAGAUGCAUAUUCUAUUAUUGGCCUAACUAAGGUUAAAAUUUUAGUUUUAUGUUCUUAUUUGAUUUGCAGAAAUUAUUUUUAAUAAAUCCAAAUGCUUUGUUUGAUUUUUUAAUAGUUUCAUCAAUGUGGGGAUUCCAUGACAGUUUUUCAUUUAUUAUAACAACUAGGUAUUUUGCUUAUUAACAGCUGGUAAAAUAAGUUCUUCCACAAUAGUGUUCAUCUUUACAUAUUUGCAAUCAAUAAAGAAAUAUAAUAAGAAGCAAGCAGUCCAUCUUCAUCUUGCUUAGAUGUUGACCUUAUGAGUUGUUGCAAUGGCUAUGAUUUCAAAUAUCUCUUUUAUCAUUACAGAUUUUUUACAAAUGUUCCUUAUGCUUAGAGAUUUCAUUGAAUCGUAUGAAACAGUUGAACCACCAACACCAGCGUCUCAUGUGAAGACUGGGAUUUUAGAGUUCAGGAUUUUUAGGACACCCCUAAGUCCACCCAACUCUAAUGGAUACCUGACAUACAUUGGGGGAGUAAAGGCUGUUGGUCAUUGUGCUGGCUACAUGACAACCUGGUUAACCACCUGCCAAAGAAACUGAUGAGAUUUACAUUAUCUAACCCCAUAGAUUGCAAGGUCUGAAAGAGUACUAAAAAAUAAAUAAUUGUACUAUGUCAAAUUAUUACUAAUUUUCCCUACCUCCAAGCACAGAACAUAAUAAUGAAUAAUGUUCCAUUAAUAGUAAGAAAAAUGGUGGAUCUCAGUGUUUCAGGAAUCAAUUUUUUCCUAUAAUAAUUUGAAUCUUUCCUACGGAGAAGAGCAGCAAU